RNAcentral lists this ribosomal RNA (253 nucleotides) under uncultured bacterium. RNAcentral's name for it is "partial 16S ribosomal RNA". It matches the Rfam family "Bacterial small subunit ribosomal RNA", at positions 524 to 776 of the family's 1533-position model. The record is from RNAcentral.
UACGUAGGGGGCAAGCGUUGUCCGGAAUCAUUGGGCGUAAAGCGCGCGUAGGCGGCCCGGUAAGUCCGCUGUAAAAGUCCAGGGCUCAACCCUGGAAAGCCGGUGGAUACUGUCGGGCUAGAGUCCGGAAGAGGCGAGUGGAAUUCCUGGUGUAGCGGUGGAAUGCGCAGAGAUCAGGAGGAACACCGAUUGCGAAGGCAGCUCGCUGGGACGUUACUGACGCUGAGACGCGAAAGCGUGGGGAGCAAACAGG